RNAcentral lists this ribosomal RNA (478 nucleotides) under uncultured soil bacterium. RNAcentral's name for it is "bacterial SSU rRNA". It matches the Rfam family "Bacterial small subunit ribosomal RNA", at positions 26 to 517 of the family's 1533-position model. The record is from RNAcentral.
AGGACGAACGCUGGCGGCGUGCUUAACACAUGCAAGUCGAGCGGUAAGGCCUUUCGGGGUACACGAGCGGCGAACGGGUGAGUAACACGUGGGUGAUCUGCCCUGCACUUCGGGAUAAGCCUGGGAAACUGGGUCUAAUACCGGAUAUGACCUCAGGUUGCAUGACUUGGGGUGGAAAGAUUUAUCGGUGCAGGAUGGGCCCGCGGCCUAUCAGCUUGUUGGUGGGUAAUGGCCUACCAAGGCGACGACGGGUAGCCGACCUGAGAGGGUGACCGGCCACACUGGGACUGAGACACGGCCCAGACUCCUACGGGAGGCAGCAGUGGGGAAUAUUGCACAAUGGGCGAAAGCCUGAUGCAGCGACGCCGCGUGAGGAUGGACGGUCCUUCGGGUUAGUAAACCUCUUUCAGUCGAGGACGAAGCGACGAAGUGACGUACCUGCAGAAGAGCACCGCUAACGUACGUCGCCAGCACGCCG